Molecule: non-coding RNA, 72 nt
Organism: Pangasianodon gigas (Mekong giant catfish)
Lineage: Eukaryota; Metazoa; Chordata; Actinopteri; Siluriformes; Pangasiidae
Source: the annotation of a GenBank genome assembly
UUUUUUUUUUUUUUUUUUUGUAUGACUGUAAUGUUGAGCACUGACCAGCAGGAGGCGGCACCACACUGGCCA